UUUCCGUAGGUGAACCUGCGGAAGGAUCAUUAACACGAACAAAAUGUUCCAAAACCUUUUUGGAUCAACGCCAACCUUUGAAAAGGCGAACCUAGUUGUAUUUUUCUCCUUUUUCUAUUUCGUUUUUCUCAAACGCAACUUCUCAUGGAAAUUGACUAGAAUCGUGUGAUUUGUUCCAAUCCUAUCACCUCUUUCUCCUCUCCUCUCCUCGUGAGAUGAGAUGGGAUGUGAGAUGGGAGAUGGGGGGUGGGUUUGGAACUAACCAUUCCUAACGCUAAAACAACUCUUAACAACGGAUAUCUUGGCUCUC
RNAcentral lists this unclassified non-coding RNA (310 nucleotides) under plant metagenome. Its description in RNAcentral is "partial contains small subunit ribosomal RNA, internal transcribed spacer 1, and 5.8S ribosomal RNA". The record is from RNAcentral.